This 214-nucleotide long non-coding RNA is filed under the name Ananas comosus (pineapple). Its description in RNAcentral is "long non-coding RNA (ACOM_LNC041353)". Lineage: Eukaryota; Viridiplantae; Streptophyta; Magnoliopsida; Poales; Bromeliaceae. The record is from RNAcentral.
AAAGGAUAUAUUGCCCCAGGUGCAUAUGCAGUUUGUGUUUUUAUCGUACAUUUUUAACUACUAAUGUACUCUUCAAAAUAUAUGUAUUUGCAUAUAUACCAUGUAAUGCUUUUUGAGAUAGUCCAUACUUGCGUAUACCUUCUAAACUUUCUGUCACAAAGGUUGAUAUCCAGCAAAGUGAGACCGAUGAUGAUUUCAGGAUUUAGCUCUCUGA